UUCUUUUUGUGGCUUAAUCCUGGUGAAAAUUUGACAUUGUGACUAUACCACAGCAGUUUACGUUUCAAGAUUCAAAUAAUUCUGUUGAUUCAUCAGCUUCUGAUAGUGACCCUAUGAGACAGAGAUUUUCUAUAAAAGCACACUCACGGUUACCCUACCUCGUUAUAUCUGAUGGAUAUAUGGUCACAACCCUUCGAUUUCUUGAUAGCCUAUCUCCAUCAGUACACAUGAGAUCACUUCUACUUGAUUCAACCCAGAGGCUUGAGAAAAUAUAUCAAAGUGUGAUAUUGUCUAAGCCAAAAGGCAAAGGACUGAACUUGCGAUCACUGAAUUCCCUAAGGUCUAGCCUGUUAGAACACCAAGGAAAUGAAAGUUCAGCCGAUUUCACUGUCCCCAAAUUCUUGCAGGCAGAAGAAACAAUAAAUGAAAAUGCAGCAGAUUUUCAGGUACUUAGCA
RNAcentral lists this long non-coding RNA (456 nucleotides) under Homo sapiens (human). RNAcentral describes it as "HSALNT0086698". Lineage: Eukaryota; Metazoa; Chordata; Mammalia; Primates; Hominidae. The record is from RNAcentral.